Molecule: long non-coding RNA, 1074 nt
Filed under: Salvia miltiorrhiza (redroot sage)
Lineage: Eukaryota; Viridiplantae; Streptophyta; Magnoliopsida; Lamiales; Lamiaceae
Description: long non-coding RNA (SMIL_LNC007134)
Source: RNAcentral
GUUAUUAGGAAAUCAAUAGUGGAGGAUAUUCAUAUACAUAUGAUAUACACAAGAUGUCUUCUUGCACCCAACCACAUAUACCCUCUCCUCUUCCUUCCUCUCUCUCACUAAAACCUUCUACAGAGACAAACAGACUACUCCUUCCACUCCCAACUUGUUCUCUGCAUGUGUUCAUGUGUGGGCUGUGUUGAAUAUACAUAAUUUGGGAUUCAAUUGAAAUGAGUUGGUGAGUAAAGAAGAUGCCUUUUUCUUUGCCUCUUCCUCUUCUCUGUGCUUCUGAAAUGGUGUCUUCUUCCGAGCACUCAUUGUCCUGGUGAGCAGCAUAAUUACAUUACAAAUGUUGCAAAAUACAAAAGGAACAAAACUAUCCAGCAACCAUAAGAGCAUAAAAAACUGUCACAAACCCAGGUACACAUAUUGAACCAAAAUAGUCGAGAAACACGUUGAAUAUUCCCAUAUGCUCAAUAAUGCAAACAUGCUCCAGCAAGCAAACAGUAUCAAUAAGCUCUUAUAAAUAAUAACACUGGAUUCAAACAAUCGAAUGGGACGCACAGCAUUCUACUGUAUAAGAAAAACACUAAAAAAUUAAAACCAAAUACAGCCUGAAGUAGAUUGAGCUAUAUCCACAAUUACCAACUUAUUCUGAAAAUUCAAUUAUUGGCGCUGAAUAGAGUGGUAUAGCAGCAGCAAUUACACACGAUGAUGCAUCCACAAAGUAGGUUGAGAAGAAUUACAAAAUUAGGGAUUUUCUACAAGUCACAUAAGCUACAAAGUUUGGUACUUGGUCCGCCUUAUUCGUUGCAAAACCCUCAUGGAUUUUUCGUUUAGUAUCAGAAAAAAUAAUGAGUUUCUAAGAAAUGACAAAAUUUUAGAGCGAGAGAAAGGAGGGAGAGAGAGGACUUACUGGGGAUUAAUGGAUCUGUGUGAUUAUAAAAAAAUUCUGAUGCAGAAAGUUUUAAGAGUGUGCUGAAGCCAAACACGACGCAUUGAACGAUUGAGGGAGAAAGACACUCUUUUUUUCCUAUUUACCUAAAACUGGCCGGACCCGACCCGCACAUAUGAGACAACCCGGAU